GAGUUUGAUCCUGGUUCAGAUUGAACGCUAGCGGGAUGCCUUACACAUGCAAGUCGAACGGCAGCACGGACUUCGGUCUGGUGGCGAGUGGCGAACGGGUGAGUAAUGUAUCGGAACGUGCCCAGUAGCGGGGGAUAACUACGCGAAAGCGUAGCUAAUACCGCAUACGCCCUACGGGGGAAAGCAGGGGAUCGCAAGACCUUGCACUAUUGGAGCGGCCGAUAUCGGAUUAGCUAGUUGGUGGGGUAACGGCUCACCAAGGCGACGAUCCAUAGCUGGUUUGAGAGGACGACCAGCCACACUGGGACUGAGACACGGCCCAGACUCCUACGGGAGGCAGCAGUGGGGAAUUUUGGACAAUGGGGGAAACCCUGAUCCAGCCAUCCCGCGUGUGCGAUGAAGGCCUUCGGGUUGUAAAGCACUUUUGGCAGGAAAGAAACGUCAUGGGUUAAUACCCCGUGAAACUGACGGUACCUGCAGAAUAAGCACCGGCUAACUACGUGCCAGCAGCCGCGGUAAUACGUAGGGUGCAAGCGUUAAUCGGAAUUACUGGGCGUAAAGCGUGCGCAGGCGGUUCGGAAAGAAAGAUGUGAAAUCCCAGAGCUUAACUUUGGAACUGCAUUUUUAACUACCGGGCUAGAGUGUGUCAGAGGGAGGUGGAAUUCCGCGUGUAGCAGUGAAAUGCGUAGAUAUGCGG
This 697-nucleotide ribosomal RNA is filed under the name uncultured Achromobacter sp. RNAcentral describes it as "bacterial SSU rRNA". It matches the Rfam family "Bacterial small subunit ribosomal RNA", at positions 9 to 701 of the family's 1533-position model. Lineage: Bacteria; Pseudomonadati; Pseudomonadota; Betaproteobacteria; Burkholderiales; Alcaligenaceae. The record is from RNAcentral.